UGUGACAUUGAGGAAGGAGCUGACGAGAAGGAGUCACACACUAACGACGUCUACGCCUACCGGAUCCAGUGGGCCCGUCUGAGCUGCGUCUACUGGAGCGAGACCCAGGAAGACUGGAGGACGGACGGAUGCACGAUAAACAAGCAGUCCACCAUUGCCAGCACCAUCUGUCACUGCAACCAUCUGACGGCCUUCGGAACUGACUUCGUCACACCGCCGAACAGACUCGACUUCAGGGCGUUGAAUUACAGCGGUUUAAGGGACAACGUUGCCAUAGUUUCAACGAUCAUUGUGGCACUCUGUCUGUACUCGUUCACAUUAGCCCUGAUAAAGAUUGCUGAGCGUGUAGGGAAAAGGAAGUUACAUCACGCUGUAAGGUUGGACGACCUUCAGAACGGCUACCGGUACCGCCUGAUCAUCUGGACAGGUGCAGCUAGGCAUGCUGGGACAGAGUCCACCGUUGCCUUCAAGCUCUUCGGCGAUGCAGCAAACUCCGAUG
This is a long non-coding RNA of Branchiostoma floridae (Florida lancelet), 499 nucleotides long. RefSeq lists it as uncharacterized. NCBI's taxonomy places the organism in Eukaryota, Metazoa, Chordata, Leptocardii, Amphioxiformes, Branchiostomatidae. The transcript is spliced from 3 exons. The record is from RefSeq and is a predicted model, not a curated record.